GAGAAACCGUUAUCUACAGGAGGGAAGGAAAUUCUAUUGAAAGCUGUUGCAGAGGCCAUUCCAGUUUUUGCUAUGUCUGUAUUCUGCAUUCCGAAGGGAGUGUGUAAAGAUAUUACAGAUGUGAUUGCACAAUUUUGGUGGGGAUAUGAUGAAGAAAAUAAAAAGAUGCAUUGGUUUUCUUGGUGGAAAUUAUGCAUUCCAAAAUGUGAUGGUGGUAUGGGAUUCAGGGAUCUACACUCCUUUAAUUUGGCUUUAUUAGCUAAGCAAUGUUGGAGGCUGAUUACAAAUCCAGAAUCUAUUUGUUCCCAAAUCUUGAAGGCCAAAUACUUCCCAUCCACUGAUUUACUCUUUGCAGGCCCCAAAAAAGGAUCUUCUUUUACAUGGCAGAGUACCAUUGCGGGUCUUGCCACUUUUAAGCGUGGCUAUAUUUGGCGAAUUGGUUCGGGAGAGAAGGUGAAUAUAUGGAAUGAUCCAUGGGUUCCUGCAAGUCCGGACAGGAAGAUUUUAACUCCUCGGGGACACACCGUGAUAUCUAAGGUGGUGGAGCUACUUGAUCCAGUUACAGGACAGUGGGAUGACGACUUGAUCAGAGACAUCUUUAACCCUGUGGAUGUAAGAAGGAUUCUGCAGAUUUCGAUAAACUUUCAAGCCUUUGAUGAUUUUGUUGCUUGGCAUCUUACGAGUUAA
RNAcentral lists this ribosomal RNA (687 nucleotides) under Triticum aestivum (bread wheat). RNAcentral's name for it is "partial small subunit ribosomal RNA". Lineage: Eukaryota; Viridiplantae; Streptophyta; Magnoliopsida; Poales; Poaceae. The record is from RNAcentral.